UGGUGCUUUUAGCAUAGUGGAACCACUCCGACUCCAUCCCGAACUCGGUUGUGAAACGCUAUUGCGGCUAAGAUACUUGGAGGGUUGCCUCCUGGGACAAUAGCUCAGUGCCAGGC
RNAcentral lists this ribosomal RNA (116 nucleotides) under Lusitaniella coriacea LEGE 07157. The record is from RNAcentral. Lineage: Bacteria; Bacillati; Cyanobacteriota; Cyanophyceae; Spirulinales; Lusitaniellaceae.